CGUGUAGGCGGUGCGGUAAGUCGGGCGUGAAAUCUCCAGGCUCAACCUGGAGGGGCCGUCCGAAACUGCCGUGCUAGAGUGCGGGAGGGGGAAGUGGAAUUCCUGGUGUAGCGGUGAAAUGCGUAGAUAUCGGGAGGAACACCUGUGGCGAAGGCGGCUUCCUGGACCGCAACUGACGCUGAGGCGCGAAAGCUAGGGGAGCAAACAGGAUUAGAUACCCUGGUAGUCCUAGCCCUAAACGAUGAACACUGGGUGUAGCCCUUCACGGGGCUGUGCCGAAGCUAACGCAUUAAGUGUUCCGCCUGGGGAGUACGGUCGCAAGGCUGAA
RNAcentral lists this ribosomal RNA (328 nucleotides) under uncultured bacterium. RNAcentral describes it as "bacterial SSU rRNA". It matches the Rfam family "Bacterial small subunit ribosomal RNA", at positions 568 to 898 of the family's 1533-position model. The record is from RNAcentral.